AGUGAACGCUGGCGGUAGGCCUAACACAUGCAAGUCGAACGGCAGCACAGUAAGAGCUUGCUCUUACGGGUGGCGAGUGGCGGACGGGUGAGGAAUACAUCGGAAUCUACUUUUUCGUGGGGGAUAACGUAGGGAAACUUACGCUAAUACCGCAUACGACCUACGGGUGAAAGCAGGGGAUCUUCGGACCUUGCGCGAUUGAAUGAGCCGAUGUCGGAUUAGCUAGUUGGCGGGGUAAAGGCCCACCAAGGCGACGAUCCGUAGCUGGUCUGAGAGGAUGAUCAGCCACACUGGACCUGAGACACGGUCCAGACUCCUACGGGAGGCAGCAGUGGGGAAUAUUGGACAAUGGGCGCAGGCCUGAUCCAGCCAUACCGCGUGGGUGAAGAAGGCCUUCGGGUUGUAAAGCCCUUUUGUUGGGAAAGAAAAGCAGCAGGUUAAUACCCCGCUGUUCUGACGGUACCCAAAGAAUAAGCACCGGCUAACUUCGU
Molecule: ribosomal RNA, 491 nt
Filed under: uncultured bacterium
Lineage: Bacteria
Description: partial 16S ribosomal RNA
Rfam family: Bacterial small subunit ribosomal RNA
Source: RNAcentral